Molecule: ribosomal RNA, 467 nt
Filed under: uncultured bacterium
Lineage: Bacteria
Description: partial 16S ribosomal RNA
Rfam family: Bacterial small subunit ribosomal RNA
Source: RNAcentral
GACGAACGCUGGCGGCGUGCUUAACACAUGCAAGUCGAACGGAAAGGCCCUGCUUUUGUGGGGUGCUCGAGUGGCGAACGGGUGAGUAACACGUGAGUAACCUGCCCUUGACUUUGGGAUAACUUCAGGAAACUGGGGCUAAUACCGGAUAGGAGCUCCUGCUGCAUGGUGGGGGUUGGAAAGUUUCGGCGGUUGGGGAUGGACUCGCGGCUUAUCAGCUUGUUGGUGGGGUAGUGGCUUACCAAGGCUUUGACGGGUAGCCGGCCUGAGAGGGUGACCGGCCACAUUGGGUCUGAGUUACGGCCCAGACUCCUUCGGGCGGCAGCAGUGGGGAAUAUUGCACAAUGGGCGGAAGCCUGAUGCAGCAACGCCGCGUGCGGGAUGACGGCCUUCGGGUUGUAAACCGCUUUCGCCUGUGACGAAGCGUGAGUGACGGUAAUGGGUAAAGAAGCACCGGCUACCUACGU